AGAUUGAACGCUGGCGGCAUGCCUUACACAUGCAAGUCGAACGGCAGCACGGGAGCAAUCCUGGUGGCGAGUGGCGAACGGGUGAGUAAUAUAUCGGAACGUGCCCAGUCGUGGGGGAUAACGUAGAGAAAUUUACGCUAAUACCGCAUACGAUCCAAGGAUGAAAGCGGGGGACCGUAAGGCCUCGCGCGACUGGAGCGGCUGAUAUCAGAUUAGCUUGUUGGUGAGGUAAAAGCUCACCAAGGCGACGAUCUGUAGCUGGUUUGAGAGAACGACCAGCCACACUGGGACUGAGACACGGCCCAGACCUCCUACGGGAGCAG
This 323-nucleotide ribosomal RNA is filed under the name uncultured soil bacterium. RNAcentral's name for it is "bacterial SSU rRNA". It matches the Rfam family "Bacterial small subunit ribosomal RNA", at positions 26 to 351 of the family's 1533-position model. The record is from RNAcentral.